GUAGAUCUACCAGGUGCAGGGAAGCACUCCACACCCUCACCCAGGUCCUGUAUCCCUGCAAGACUGCGUUGGAAAGACUGAAGAGGAAGCUAAAGAAUGAUGCGCUCCACCACAAUGAGGGACUAAACAACAAAAAGGAGGCAUGAGAUUCAGGAAGCAAAAAAGGAAUUCAUCAUAUGAAGGAAUGAAGAUGUUCAAAAGAAAACCUUCAACCUCAUGCCAGAAGAUGUUCCCAGCUGUAUAAAUGCCUAACUCAGCUUCUAGUCCUUGGAAAUUAAGCAGCUCAUUGAAAAUUCAAGAGUUCCAGCCAGAAGCUACAGCUAGGCUCAGAUGUUGAAAUCAGUCUCUCCUGCUGAUCAAACUGUGACAUAGCCAAAGCAAUAGGCCUGGCUUUUCAGUUAAUUCUCAGCGAGCCCUUCCUUUCCCUCUGUAGUGGUUGGUGUGGCAUUUAUAAUAUAACUCCUUUAUGUACACUGUAAACCAUUCCUUCUCAGGGCAGAUGGAAGUAUGAAAUCUAUCUAUUUCAGUCUAUAAAAUUAUAUUUAGAGCGUUAGGUAAUGAAUGUCCUAGUAAAGUCGGCAGAGGACAGGUAGGUUAAAUGACAAGUAAGGAAUGACAGGCAGGUAGUAGAUGAUAAGAGUUGCAGAACAGUUUGGGGAGAAGGACUUU
This 669-nucleotide long non-coding RNA is filed under the name Homo sapiens (human). RNAcentral describes it as "HSALNT0386276". Lineage: Eukaryota; Metazoa; Chordata; Mammalia; Primates; Hominidae. The record is from RNAcentral.